Molecule: non-coding RNA, 1458 nt
Organism: Cajanus cajan (pigeon pea)
Lineage: Eukaryota; Viridiplantae; Streptophyta; Magnoliopsida; Fabales; Fabaceae
Source: RefSeq, a predicted model, not a curated record
UUUUUUUUUUUGGGUUCACUCUCUAGUUUGCCUUCAAUUCAUGCUAAAUAUUUUAUAUGGAAUUAGACUUGGGUUAUUGCUGCAGAGUUGUGUUGCCAAUUUAAACCUGAACUUCCAAUUCUUAUUGGCUCUCUCAAUUUUUUGCUUGAGAUUGAGACCAGUUCGGUUUAAAACAUUAAAUGUUUGUUUGGUUCAGCUUAUUUUGAAGAAAUAAUUGUUUAUUUUUCAUCGCUUAUUUUUGUUAGUUUCCUUAGAGAGAUUUUGAAAUAUAAGGAAUUAUUUCCACAAAAUUAAUCUAUAUGAAACAUGCACCAAGGGAAACAUUUUAUAAAGUCAGGAGAAUGGAAGCCCAAUUUAAUGCUUCAACUGUGAAGUUGUAAGAGGUAGAAUUAGAGUGUUCUUAGGAAUUGACCAUACCUUUCAUGCAGUAAGAUAAACUUUUGUUUCUAAUGUGGAUCAAGAGAAAUCUGAAUCUGUGGCUGCUGACACAGUUCCUAAUAAUGACACUAUUCUCAGAGACUCUAAUGUAAAAGAUGAUUCUAAUGUGAACAGAGAAAACCAGGAGGAUCAUAAAACUGACAACUCCCCCAAAAAAGUACAGGAUCAACUUGAGGAGUUGGUACAUAGGCUCAAGGAUUGCUAAAAACAACAAAAUCUACUUGUCAGUCUAAAGAAGCAAGGUUAGCUCGGGUUUGUGCUGGAUUAUCAUCCCGCCUUCAAGAAUACAAAUCUGAAAAUGCACAGUUGGAGGAACUUCUUGUUGCAGAGGUGAAACAUUAUCACUAUCUCCUGUUCAAAGGAAUAAAAGGUCUCAUCAUAUGCUUGAAAUAGAAACAUAUUGACUAUUGUAUCAAUUAAUUAUUUCUAAAUCUAUAGAGAGCUGAGUAAAUCAUACGAGGCUAGCAUAAAACAGCUACAGAAUGAUUUGUCUGAAGGUAAAAGGGAGGUGACAAGAGUUGAAUCAAAUAUGGUUGAGGCCUUGGCAGCAAAAAAUGCUGAAAUUGAGGCACUGCUAAGUUUUAUGGAAGCGGUUAAGAGGCAGGCUGCAUUGUCAGAAGGAAGUCUAGCUUCCAUGCAGGUUCCUCUUAGUUAAUUUAUUGAAGCGUGCCCUACAGUAUUUUAUUUGCUUCCAUGCAACUUCUGUUUCUACCUAAACUAUUUUUGGUGCAAUUUGCUUUGAUCUUGUGGAAGGCUUUUUUUUAAAAUGAAUAAUGAACAAGUUGGACUUGCUUUGAUGUUGGCAUCUAUUAGAGAAGUCACUUUAUGUUUAGCAUGCACAUUUACAUUUAUAUUACGUUGUCAUUUCAUUAUAAUUUCCUUUACAUUUCUUCUGUUAGAGUUAGUUAGCUUGUCAGUUAGUUUGUUAGCUUCUGACUUAGCAAUGAGUCGUACAGUUCAGCUAUAAGGUUGCCCUCUCUGUACAUUUUCUUCUAUGAAAAAUUUACAGUUCAGUGUAUC